This 133-nucleotide ribosomal RNA is filed under the name uncultured bacterium. Its description in RNAcentral is "partial 16S ribosomal RNA". It matches the Rfam family "Bacterial small subunit ribosomal RNA", at positions 382 to 507 of the family's 1533-position model. The record is from RNAcentral.
CCUGAUCCAGCCAUGCCGCGUGUGUGAAGAAGGCCUUCGGGUUGUAAAGCACUUUCAGUGNGGAAGAAAGCCUUGGGGNCAAUACCCUCNAGGAAGGACAUCACCCACAGAAGAAGCACCGGCUAACUCCGUG